UACGUAGGGGGCUAGCGUUGUCCGGAAUCAUUGGGCGUAAAGCGCGCGUAGGCGGCCCGGUAAGUCCGUUGUGAAAGUCAAAGGCUCAACCUUUGAAAGCCGAUGGAUACUGCCGGGCUGGAGUCCGGAAGAGGCGAGUGGAAUUCCUGGUGUAGCGGUGGAAUGCGCAGAUAUCAGGAGGAACACCAAUAGCGAAGGCAGCUCGCUGGGACGGUACUGACGCUGAGGCGCGAAAGCCAGGGGAGCAAACGGG
Molecule: ribosomal RNA, 253 nt
Filed under: uncultured bacterium
Lineage: Bacteria
Description: partial 16S ribosomal RNA
Rfam family: Bacterial small subunit ribosomal RNA
Source: RNAcentral